Long non-coding RNA from Nycticebus coucang (slow loris), 689 nucleotides. RefSeq lists it as uncharacterized. The transcript is spliced from 5 exons. The record is from RefSeq and is a predicted model, not a curated record. NCBI's taxonomy places the organism in Eukaryota, Metazoa, Chordata, Mammalia, Primates, Lorisidae.
CCAGACUAUUUAACCCUGAAAGGCCUUAAUUUGUCCAUCUUCGCAGUGGGUGUCAUUCAGAUUAGUCACGUGUUACGCCACAUGCCCCAGGCACAAGCCUUUCCAAAUUGGUCUGACUCAGAAGCAGAGAACUUUAGGCUUGCUGCUAGAAAUGCAGCAAAACCAGAAGAGGAGGAUUGAGGAGGAGUGCUGGUCUUUUUAGACAAUCUGGAACGAUUGUCCAGGCUGCUGCUGAUAAAAAAAUGGGGUGGAGAAAGGUUACUUCCUGGUCUGAGGAGAGCAAUGCUUCUGUCUCUGCAGCCCCUGCCACUUGCAGAAGUCCAGGACACACCAGCAAGAGGAGGUCCAGGAGACAGGCUGGGCGAGGUCUGCGGCGAUGGAGCAGAGGUCGAUACUCAAUCCCAAUUGGAGGGGACACCCGAUUCCAUUUCCUCAAGCUGUGUGUUCUGUUCCUCUUUUGCUUGCCUUGGUUUGUCCUGCCCAAGGCGGAGUUUAGACUGUGAUUCAGAAAGCUUCCUGAAUGCUGCUGUGGUUAAGCAUUUUAGCAGGAUGGCCCAAGAGAGUCUCUGCUGCUGGGAGGAAUGAUGGCUCCUGGGUGUCUCUGACCUGCUUAUCAGGUGAAGAAACUGUUGCACAGGAAGGUUAUGUUGCUUGUUCAAGGUCAUAUGUCAUCUAAGUGGAAGAGGUAG